RNAcentral lists this ribosomal RNA (249 nucleotides) under uncultured bacterium. RNAcentral's name for it is "partial 16S ribosomal RNA". It matches the Rfam family "Bacterial small subunit ribosomal RNA", at positions 57 to 305 of the family's 1533-position model. The record is from RNAcentral.
GCAAGUCGAACGCGAACGGUUUCUUCGGAAACCUAGUAGAGUGGCGCACGGGUGAGUAACGCGUAAGUAAUCUACCCUGGCAUCUGGGAUAACAAUUCGAAAGGAUUGCUAAUACCGGAUACGCUGGUAACAGGAAAGGUGGCCUCUGUUUCAUGCUACUGUGCUGGGAGGAGCUUGCGUACCAUUAGCUAGUUGGUGGGGUAAUGGCCUACCAAGGCAACGAUGGUUAGCGGGUCUGAGAGGAUGAUC